Molecule: ribosomal RNA, 468 nt
Filed under: uncultured bacterium
Lineage: Bacteria
Description: partial 16S ribosomal RNA
Rfam family: Bacterial small subunit ribosomal RNA
Source: RNAcentral
GACGAACACUGGCGGCGUGCUUAACACAUGCAAGUCGAACGGAAAGACCCUGCUUUUGUGGGGUGCUCGAGUGGCGAACGGGUGAGUAACACGUGAGUAACCUGCCCUUGACUUUGGGAUAACUUCAGGAAACUGGGGCUAAUACCGGAUAGGAGCUCCUGCUGCAUGGUGGGGGUUGGAAAGUUUCGGCGGUUGGGGAUGGACUCGCGGCUUAUCAGCUUGUUGGUGGGGUAGUGGCUUACCAAGGCUUUGACGGGUAGCCGGCCUGAGAGGGUGACCGGCCACAUUGGGACUGAGAUACGGCCCAGACUCCUACGGGAGGCAGCAGUGGGGAAUAUUGCACAAUGGGCGGAAGCCUGAUGCAGCAACGCCGCGUGCGGGAUGACGGCCUUCGGGUUGUAAACCGCUUUCGCCUGUGACGAAGCGUGAGUGACGGUAAUGGGUAAAGAAGCACCGGCUAACUACGUG